UGUAUAAAAAUGAAGGGUCUGACUUAACUAUAAAAUACUAUAAUUUAUUGUGAUAUCCACAAGGCUAUGAGUAUUUUUAGAGGUAAGAUUUAUGUUGAGAGUUGCAUGAGAUGCAAUUAGAUAAAUUUUUCUACCUUUGAACUUAUUGAGGUUUGUUGUGAUAUCCACAAGGCUUCAAUGAAGGAUUAGGAUCUCAACCCCAUUAACAAAUCAGAUUAGAAUUUUUUAUUUACCAC
Molecule: long non-coding RNA, 236 nt
Filed under: Elaeis guineensis (African oil palm)
Lineage: Eukaryota; Viridiplantae; Streptophyta; Magnoliopsida; Arecales; Arecaceae
Description: long non-coding RNA (EGUI_LNC064045)
Source: RNAcentral